UUGGGGUCCGAGUUGUAAUUUGCAGAGGGUGUUUCGGGCACGGUGCCGGUUUAAGUCCUUUGGAACAGGGCGUCAUAGAGGGUGAGAACCCCGUAUGUGACCGGUCGCCAAACCCAUGUGAAACCCCUUCGACGAGUCGAGUUGUUUGGGAAUGCAGCUCAAAAUGGGUGGUAAAUUUCAUCUAAAGCUAAAUAUUGGCCAGAGACCGAUAGCGCACAAGUAGAGUGAUCGAAAGAUGAAAAGCACUUUGGAAAGAGAGUCAAACAGCACGUGAAAUUGUUGAAAGGGAAGCGCUUGCGACCAGACCUGCUCGCGGGUGAUCAGCGGUGCUUUUCGCGCCGUGCACUCAUCCGCGAUCAGGCCAGCAUCGGUUCAGGCGGCCGGAUAAAGACUCGGAGAAUGUAGCUCCCUCCGGGGAGUGUUAUAGCUCCUUGUGCAAUACGGCCAGCCGGGACCGAGGACCGCGCUUCGGCUAGGAUGCUGGCGUAAUGGUCGUAAGCGACCCGUCUUGAAACACGGACCAAGGAGUCUAACAUCUGUGCGAGUGUUUGGGCGUCAAACCCAUGCGCGCAAUGAAAGUGAACGUGAGGUGGGAACCCUUUCGGGGGCGCACCAUCGACCGAUCCAGAUGUCUUCGGAUGGAUUUGAGUAAGAGCACAGCUGUUGGGACCCGAAAGAUGGUGAACUAUGCCUGAAUAGGGUGAAGCCAGAGGAAACUCUGGUGGAGGCUCGCAGCGGUUCUGACGUGCAAAUCGAUCGUCAAAUUUGGGUAUAGGGGCGAAAGACUAAUCGA
This 793-nucleotide ribosomal RNA is filed under the name Psora decipiens. Its description in RNAcentral is "LSU rRNA". It matches the Rfam family "Eukaryotic large subunit ribosomal RNA", at positions 131 to 938 of the family's 3401-position model. The record is from RNAcentral. Lineage: Eukaryota; Fungi; Ascomycota; Lecanoromycetes; Lecanorales; Psoraceae.